RNAcentral lists this ribosomal RNA (514 nucleotides) under uncultured bacterium. RNAcentral describes it as "partial 16S ribosomal RNA". It matches the Rfam family "Bacterial small subunit ribosomal RNA", at positions 28 to 523 of the family's 1533-position model. The record is from RNAcentral.
GACGAACGCUGGCGGCAUGCCUAACACAUGCAAGUCGAACGGAGAUUACUUCGGUAAUCUUAGUGGCGAACGGGUGAGUAACGCGUGGGCAACCUGCCCUCUAGAUGGGGACAACAUCCCGAAAGGGGUGCUAAUACCGAAUGUGACAGCAAUCUCGCAUGAGGAUGCUGUGAAAGAUGGCCUCUAUUUAUAAGCUAUCGCUAGAGGAUGGGCCUGCGUCUGAUUUGCUAGUUGGUGGGGUAACGGCCUACCAAGGCGAUGAUCAGUAGCCGGUCUGAGAGGAUGAACGGCCACAUUGGGACUGAGACACGGCCCAGGCUCCUACGGGAGGCAGCAGUGGGGAAUCUUCCGCAAUGGGCGAAAGCCUGACGGAGCAAUGCCGCGUGAGUGAUGAAGGAAUUCGUUCCGUAAAGCUCUUUUGUUUAUGACGAAUGUGCAGAUUGUGAACAAUGAUUUGUAAUGACGGUAGUAAACGAAUAAGCCACGGCUAACUACGUGCCAGCAGCCGCCGUAA